This 253-nucleotide ribosomal RNA is filed under the name uncultured bacterium. RNAcentral describes it as "partial 16S ribosomal RNA". It matches the Rfam family "Bacterial small subunit ribosomal RNA", at positions 524 to 776 of the family's 1533-position model. The record is from RNAcentral.
UACGGAGGAGGCAAGCGUUAUCCGGAAUUAUUGGGCGUAAAGCGCACGUAGGCGGAUUGCUACGUCAGGGGUGAAAUCCUGGAGCUCAACUCCAGAACUGCCUUUGAUACUGGCGACCUUGAGUCCGGGAGAGGUGAGUGGAACUGCGAGUGUAGAGGUGAAAUUCGUAGAUAUUCGCAAGAACACCAGUGGCGAAGGCGGCUCACUGGCCCGGUACUGACGCUGAGGUGCGAAAGCGUGGGGAGCAAACAGG